This 617-nucleotide long non-coding RNA is filed under the name Setaria viridis. RNAcentral's name for it is "long non-coding RNA (SVIR_LNC007607)". Lineage: Eukaryota; Viridiplantae; Streptophyta; Magnoliopsida; Poales; Poaceae. The record is from RNAcentral.
CAAUAUAAAGACUCACUCCAUUCUAAAUCGUAGGUCAUUUUGACUUUUCUAAAUGCAUAGUUUUUACUAUGCAUCUAAACAUACACUAUAUCUAAGUGCAUAAAGUCAAAAAGACAUAGAAUUUGAAACGGAGGGAGUACAAGACUUCAUCCGGGACAUGCUUUUAUUUACUUGACCUGUAUGAAUGGUCCAUGCGAACACAUCCAUGUCCAAUUAUUUGGAGGCUUGGCGUUUAUAUUCUUUAGCCAAUUCUGGGAACCUCGGCCACGAUGUCAACCCAGAGACGAACGCGAUUUGGGUCAAAAUCUUGGGGGACGAAGGUGCCAACCGGGACAGCCUCAACAUUCAGCUCCGGCCGCUCCGCCUUGAUCUUCUCGGUCGCCGCUUUGAUCGUGCAUCCCUUUAGCUCAGGCCACUCUGUCUUGGGAGUAGCAUCGGCGCACCCCUUGCUAUCAUCUGAUGAGCUCAUCUUCUUCAGAGAUACCUGCAGAUUUUCUGCACAUUUGUUAAACAUGGGAAAGUCAGGCUGUAGAAAGUAGAAAUGAAGCAAACCAAAACUGCAGGCUUCAAUUCAGUUACUUCUUCUUCUUUUCGAAAUGCGCAUGACAAAUGAGAAG